This 69-nucleotide transfer RNA is filed under the name unidentified. RNAcentral describes it as "Epeorus sp. 02 ZXM-2022a tRNA-Ser". The record is from RNAcentral.
AGCCAGUUAUUAUGUGGAUAAUUUAUGUUUUGAAAGCAUACUCAAGGAGUUCGACUCUCCUAUUGGCUU